Schistocerca serialis cubense is the source of this 517-nucleotide long non-coding RNA. RefSeq lists it as uncharacterized. The transcript has 7 exons. The record is from RefSeq and is a predicted model, not a curated record. NCBI's taxonomy places the organism in Eukaryota, Metazoa, Arthropoda, Insecta, Orthoptera, Acrididae.
CGUUCGCACGGAGCGGUUGCGUCGCGUGGCGUGCGUGGGACAUACGGCGAUCGCGAGCCCGUGCGUAGUGUUUCGCUUCCCGUAGGACUGAACUGUUGCGUUAGUAGUGACGACCGGUGACACACGCUUUCGAGUGGACUUUUCUUGUCGCCGUAGGUGGGACUGUGUUCUUCAAAUCUGCGCUCGUUUCUCGGAGGUGAUAGCAUGUGGUGAGCUCGCUUCCAGAUCUGUGUUUACAAUAGCGCCGGUGGCAACGCCCUGAGAUGUCUGCUGGCCUAUCCCAGAGUGCUUGAACAGAGGUGCGGAAUCUGAAACCGUGGCAGUCGAUUCACAGGGUAAACGUCUGAGCGUUCUUCAGGAUCACAUUCCGCAGUUCGUUCCUUGAGACAUCAGUCUAGAAGUGGGUGGUUUUUGGACGAGGAGACCUCUGUUGUGUAUUAAGGAAUGCUAUGGAGGAUACAUGGACUUGGACGUAACUCGCCUCAGCGACCAACAGGCGACAUAUUUUGAGGCGUGA